CGACUACAUUAGAUACCCCCGUAGUCCCAGCCGUAAACUAUGCUCGCUAGGUGUCAGGCAUGGCGCGACCGUGUCUGGUGCCGCAGGGAAGCCGUGAAGCGAGCCACCUGGGAAGUACGGCCGCAAGGCUGAAACUUAAAGGAAUUGGCGGGGAGCACCACAACGGGUGGAGCCUGCGGUUUAAUUGGACUCAACGCCGGGAAGCUCACCGGAUAAGACAGCGGAAUGAUUGCCGGGCUGAAGACUCUGCAUGACUAGCUG
Molecule: ribosomal RNA, 261 nt
Filed under: uncultured archaeon
Lineage: Archaea
Description: partial 16S ribosomal RNA
Rfam family: Archaeal small subunit ribosomal RNA
Source: RNAcentral